RNAcentral lists this ribosomal RNA (253 nucleotides) under uncultured bacterium. RNAcentral's name for it is "partial 16S ribosomal RNA". It matches the Rfam family "Bacterial small subunit ribosomal RNA", at positions 524 to 776 of the family's 1533-position model. The record is from RNAcentral.
UACGUAGGAUGCAAGCGUUGUCCGGAAUUAUUGGGCGUAAAGAGCGAGCAGGCGGUCUGGAAAGUUGGACGUGAAAUUUUAGGGCUUAACCCUAAAGGGUCGUCCAAAACUUCCAAACUAGAGUGCAGGAGAGGAAAGCGGAAUUCCCGGUGUAGUGGUGAAAUGCGCAGAUAUCGGGAGGAACACCGGUGGCGAAAGCGACGUGCUGGACCUCUUCUGACGCUGAGGCGCGAAAGCUAGGGGAGCAAACGGG